AGAGUUUGAUCCUGGCUCAGAACGAACGCUGGCGGCAGGCUUAACACAUGCAAGUCGAGCGAACUUUCCAGCUUCGGUUGGACGGUUAGCGGCGGACGGGUGAGUAACGCGUGGGAACGUGCCCCUGGGUACGGAACAACCGUUGGAAACGACGGCUAAUACCGUAUGACCCUCCCCUUUAGCGAUAUUGGGGAGGCAAAGAUUUAUCGCCUGGGGAUCGGCCCGCGUUGGAUUAGGUAGUUGGUGGGGUAAUGGCCUACCAAGCCGACGAUCCAUAGCUGGUUUGAGAGGAUGAUCAGCCACACUGGGACUGAGACACGGCCCAGACUCCUACGGGAGGCAGCAGUGGGGAAUCUUGGACAAUGGGGGCAACCCUGAUCCAGCCAUGCCGCGUGAACGAUGAAGGCCUUAGGGUUGUAAAGUUCUUUCAGCAGGGAAGAUAAUGACGGUACCUGCAGAAGAAGCCCCGGCUAACUCCGUGCCAGCAGCCGCGGUAAUACGGAGGGGGCUAGCGUUGUUCGGAAUUACUGGGCGUAAAGCGCGCGUAGGCGGAUUGUUAAGUCGGGGGUGAAAUCCCGGGGCUCAACCCCGGAACUGCCUCCGAUACUGACAGUCUUGAGGUCGAGAGAGGUGAGUGGAAUUCCGAGUGUAGAGGUGAAAUUCGUAGAUAUUCGGAGGAACACCAGUGGCGAAGGCGGC
This 699-nucleotide ribosomal RNA is filed under the name uncultured bacterium. RNAcentral describes it as "bacterial SSU rRNA". It matches the Rfam family "Bacterial small subunit ribosomal RNA", at positions 8 to 725 of the family's 1533-position model. The record is from RNAcentral.